CUAAGCCAUGCGAGUCUGCCAGUCAAGCACGUUGGUUAGCGGCGAACGGCUCAGUAACACGUAGUCAACCUGCCCUCGGGACGGGAACAAUCUCGGGAAACUGAGGCUAAUUCUCGAUAGAUCAAGAUUCCUGGAAUGGGUUUUGGUCCAAAAGGAGUGACAGCAUCUUGUCACUUUGCCCGAGGAUGGGACUGCGGCCGAUCAGGCUGUUGGUGGGGUAAAGGCCCACCAAACCAGUAACCGGUACGGGCUUUGAGAGAAGGAGCCCGGAGAUGGACACUGAGACAAGGGUCCAGGUCCUACGGGGCGCAGCAGGCGCGAAACCUCCACAAUGUGGGCAACCACGAUGGGGGAACUCCAAGUGCCUACACUAUGUGUAGGCUGUUCUCGAGCCUAAAAAGCUCGAGAAGUAAGGGCCCGGUAAGACGGGUGCCAGCCGCCGCGGUUAA
RNAcentral lists this ribosomal RNA (449 nucleotides) under uncultured archaeon. RNAcentral describes it as "bacterial SSU rRNA". It matches the Rfam family "Archaeal small subunit ribosomal RNA", at positions 44 to 474 of the family's 1478-position model. The record is from RNAcentral.